AGAGAUGUCAAAUGGGUGGGUUAUAAAUGGGUGGCCCGUGUCCAAAUCGAUAUGGUCCAAAAUGGACAGACCCAGAUUAAACCAUAAUUAAAAUUUGUCCAGAUGGGUGAACCCAAUUAUAUCCAUGGGCUAUACUGGGUUUAACCACUUGGACAAUGGGCGGCCCAAUAAACUUAAAUGUCUAGGGUUUGGAUAAUUGGGAGAAAACACAAAUCACUUUUUUUUUUCUUGUCUCAUUCUUGCGAUUUUUCUUCGUGUUUGAUUCUUGUCCUCGUCUUUGAUUCUUCCUCUUCAAGUCCUCGUCUUCGAUUCUUCUUCUUCGUGUUCGAUUCUUCUUCCUUAUCUUCGUUCUGUUUCGAUUCUCUUUCGGUUCUUCUUCACCAACUUCUUAUUUCAUCAUCUCUUAAGGUUUGAUUUCGUGAUUUAUGUUAUGGGGUUUUACUAUUAUCUACUGAUUCGUAUCAUCUACUAGUAUUGUGUUAUGGGUUAUGUGUUAGAUGGAUCAGUGAUUUGUGUUCAUAACGAGUCUGGUGGCGAGUCUGGCGACUGUUUCUGUUUCCGCAAAUCAGACGAAAUCACGAAUCUUUUGAACCUAUCUUGUGUUUUUUUAUAACUUUGAAACAUGAAGUUUAAAACAUAAAGUUUAAGUAUAUGACAUUUUUAAAAUUGAAAACUAAUGAAUUUUUAAAUUUUUAAAACUAAAAUUAUGUUGUUUACAUUAAGUGGCCAUAUGGGCCGUCCAUGGAUAACCCAACAAAUCAUGGUCCUAUUUGGUUAUGGUCUCAUUUGGACAUGGUUCUAUUUGGGCUUCGACCAAAAAAAUCCAGCAAAAAAAUGAAGCCCAUUCGGACACACCCAAACCCGCCCAACCCGCCCAUUUGACAUCUCUAUC
Molecule: long non-coding RNA, 892 nt
Filed under: Brassica rapa (field mustard)
Lineage: Eukaryota; Viridiplantae; Streptophyta; Magnoliopsida; Brassicales; Brassicaceae
Description: long non-coding RNA (BRAP_LNC003043)
Source: RNAcentral